RNAcentral lists this unclassified non-coding RNA (253 nucleotides) under uncultured fungus. Its description in RNAcentral is "partial contains small subunit ribosomal RNA, internal transcribed spacer 1, and 5.8S ribosomal RNA". The stretch from base 1 to 73 matches the Rfam family "Eukaryotic small subunit ribosomal RNA", at positions 1759 to 1831 of the family's 1831-position model. Lineage: Eukaryota; Fungi. The record is from RNAcentral.
GCAAACUUGGUCAUUUAGAGGAAGUAAAAGUCGUAACAAGGUCUCCGUAGGUGAACCUGCGGAGGGAUCAUUACAGGCGCUGCGCCCUCGGGCGCGCCCCACACCCACUGCCAUCCUACGAUUGUUGCCUCGGCGGGCCGCCGUGCCCGCCGGGGGCCCUAGACCAGCGAGCCUAGAGUUGUCCGAGACCCACUAAAUCGUCAAAACUUUCAACAACGGAUCUCUUGGUUCCGGCAUCGAUGAAGAACGCAGC